RNAcentral lists this ribosomal RNA (254 nucleotides) under uncultured bacterium. Its description in RNAcentral is "partial 16S ribosomal RNA". It matches the Rfam family "Bacterial small subunit ribosomal RNA", at positions 524 to 776 of the family's 1533-position model. The record is from RNAcentral.
GACGGAGGAUGCAAGUGUUAUCCGGAAUCACUGGGCGUAAAGCGUCUGUAGGUGGUCAAAUAAGUCAACUGUUAAAUCUUGAGGCUCAACCUCAAAAUCGCAGUCGAAACUAUUAGACUAGAGUAUAGUAGGGGUAAAGGGAAUUUCCAGUGGAGCGGUGAAAUGCGUAGAGAUCGGAAAGACCACCAAUGGCGAAGGCACUCUACUGGGCCAUUACUGACACUGAGAGACGAAAGCUAGGGGGAGCAAAUGGG